This 97-nucleotide microRNA precursor is filed under the name Equus caballus (horse). RNAcentral's name for it is "mir-544 microRNA precursor family". It matches the Rfam family "mir-544 microRNA precursor family". Lineage: Eukaryota; Metazoa; Chordata; Mammalia; Perissodactyla; Equidae. The record is from Rfam by way of RNAcentral.
AUCACCUGCAAAUCUUAUUGAAAUGCAGAUUCUUAUUCAGCCAUCUGGGGUUGGGCCUGAGAUUCUGCUUUUCCAAUAAGUUCCUAAGUGAUGCUGU